UUUUUUUUCUUUUGACCUUUAAGAGAUCUGGAAAUACAUCCUGUGUAGCAGUCAUUUAACACAGACAGAUUUAAGUCUGAAAGCGUUAACUUUUGGAAUUAAACACUAAUUUUGAUUUCUUUAACAAACGCAGAAAUGAAAUGACAUUAUUUUAUUCUCUUCUGAACAGUUUUAGGGCUGAGCAUAAUCAGUUGCCUUGCAGUGGUGUGUGUGUUUCCUUUUCUAUUAAAAAAUUUUUUUAAAUCCGUGAGCCCCCAGAGAGAAAUGCAAAAAUGAAAAAUUCAGGCUUCCAUUUCAAAAAUAUUAAAUUCUAGCAUUUCAUCCCUGCAAAGAACCUUCUCCAUACCAAGGUUACAUGGAGUAGAGUGAGUUGAGUCAAAAGGUACAUGUUAAGGGGUUGCUACUGUUUCAUCUUGCAUCUUACUAUUUUGGUGGUGAUUGAGGGAAGGGAUGUGAAAAAAGAGAAGGAAAGGGACAUGGCGACAUUUUGUUCUUUAUAAGAGAUUGAUAUUGAGGGGGCCAGAAAGGCAAGAGGACAGGAUAAGCAGGAAAUAUUACCUGAGAGAAGGAAUUACAGAGCAUGGCGAUGCUGGAAGCUAGGAAGGCUUCUGCGGGAAGUUGUGCGAGGGGGAGAUAGGGGAUUGCUCUCUGGCGCCCUCUAAUGGCAAUUUGAACCCAUAUUUUUACUUUCUCAAUUCAGUACUGGGAAAAGCAGCUGGGUUUUUGUUGUUGCUUUUGGUUUUUUCCUCCACAGACUUAGAAACUAGAGACUAUUAGCGGAGUAAAUUGAUUGUUUUCAACCCCGAAACUUAUGUAUAUGCCUUAAAAUUAUCAAUGGUUUUUCUUCAAACAUUCCUGUUCUCCUGAAAUUCGUUAGAGUAAUAGAAGUAAGGCUAAUGGCAAAUUGAUUUAUAGAGGAUGGCCCAUGCCCAAUUAGUAAUUUGGGGAAAGGGAUUCCUUUCCCACCUGAACAGCAUUCUGACUCUUCUAAUAUACUCGAGAGGUGUGGCGGGGUGGAGUGGGGAGGGAUGAUUUGGAAAUUGCAGAUUCUGACACUGGCUCAUUAUAAUACAAUUUAAAGGGGGCUCUUAGGAACCUCUGUUAUUUCGACAUGUGGUGGUAAGGGGGCUUUACUUCCCGCCUCCUUUCUCUUUUUUUCUUUUUCUUCUUUCUUUCGUUCUUUUUUUUUUUUUAAAUUUGGUAGAUAAAGGUUAAUCUUGGGCUGAAUGAUAGAGCUAUGAUUGACAAGAGAAAAGGUGUUGAGGGCAGGUCGCGCUGUCUUAUUUACAGCCCACUGCUUGCUGUAGAGUCUUUGUUAGGACUGGAAAGCUAAUUUAGUGCUGAUCAAAAGCACCACAGAGUUAAAGGACUGGUAAUGACUGCUAAUUUCAUUUCAGCCUCAUGCAUCCCCAACUGCUGUAAUUAAAGACAUGCUAUUUAAAUACAGGUGAAGGGUGUUUUUUUUUUUUUUUUAAGUUAGGGUGGGGGUGAGUGGAUUACAAUUUUAUGUAGAUUUCAUCUUAUACUUGGGUAUUAUGUAGUCCAGCAUUAAAAAAAAUUUUUGUAGAGUCGCUUCUUGUCAUUUAUACCUGGCUUUGCAGAAUACGCAAUGUGAAACGUGUCAAUCACAUAAAAGUCUCUGUUUAAAGAAAGAAAGGGGGGAAAGGGAUGCAGAGGAGUAACUGUUUGGGGGGAUUUAAAUAUUUGGGUCUCUUUUUUUUUUUUUCCCCUUCAAAUUAAUAGAAAGACCUUCGAAAUAGCUAAGGUAUUUGAAACUUGGGGCAGGGUGAACAGGCCAAAGAGAUCAAUGUCAGCUUUUUAAGUACUUCUAAAAAGAUCAUGUGAACAGAUGGAAAAAUAUAUUUUUAAUUAAAUAAUUUCCCUCACACUGUAGCUGCAGUGUUGGCUCAGAAACCAUGUAAUUCCUCAACCGAUAGGAGUUUCUUUAUGAGAACAUCAAAGGAUAAAAAGCUCUACAUUUUCGUAGUUGGUUAAAAUUGAUACCCCCCCACACACACACGCACACGCACGCACACACACUUGCACACACCCCAAAAAAGAAUUUAGCCUUUAAUCUCUUUUUAUCCAAGAAGACUAAAGCUCUGUACUCGACCCCGCAAGCGGCUCUCGCCUUCCGGGGCUGGAACCCGGCUCAGAUGUGAAGCGACGCUGAGCCGCCGCGCAGGUUCGUGCCCAGCGCCCCCUGUUGGACUCAGUAGGAGCUGCGCAGCGCCAGUCCUAGAAAUAGCUAGAACUUUGCUCUGGGGUUAAAUAAAACUCUUUAUUACCCUCCAAAAAAGAGAUAGGGUAAAGAAGCAAAUUGUUAUAUCCUUAAAAGAUAAUAUAAGUUUAAUUCAAUAAAAAGUUAAAAGGAGAUAACACAAUUUUAAUUCAGUAAAAAAUAAAGAAGUCUCUAUUCCACCUCCUCAUAUCCUGGCAGCCAUCCAUCUACCCCCCCAUUCAGUGAUAGUAAAACAGGCAAAAGAGGCGUGAUUUUAAGAGAAAGAGAAAGAAAAUUUUCCUCUGUAGCAGUGGAGAACCAAACAAAAGUUUUUUCUCCCGUUCUGUCCAGAUUUGGAAAAAUAAAAUGGAAGAUGGGGCUGCGUGCUGUUUUGACGUUGUCAGCAGCAUCUUGAAUGCCCUCAGAAAUCCUUCAAGUAGAGUAACUGAGUCUCUGAGUAAACGAAACAACUUGAUCCUUUUAAAAUUUAUUUUCAGAGUGUAAUUAAAAGGCCGGUUUCUUCUUUAAAUGUUUCCCAUCCCUCAAACCAAUUUGAUCAAACUUUUCCUUCCCUGGCUAGCGAUUAAAUUCCAGAUAUCUGAAAUUUCUUAAACAGUAUCUAGUACCUGACAUACACACCCUCUUUUUUUCUGAGCCAUAGGAUUUCAGGAAAGGAGUGUCAAUGGUAAAAAAAUUUUAAAAAAAAGUAUUCUCUUUUGAAAUUCAGCAUUUUCAUUGAUCAGGAAUCCAAAUUAUCCUAGGGGUAGAGGAGCAUUUUUACACUUUCAAAAACUACCUGUCUACAUAUGAAAGAGCUUUGGCUUUUUCUUUGGUCAGCGAGUGAGGGCAAAAGUACACUUUGAAUUCGUUCAGAAAGGCAAUUAUAAAAAUGACACAUCCACUAAAUUUAAAACAGUGGGAAAAUAGGGGUUUGUUUAUGUGCUUAAAAUCAGACUGAAACAAUAUGUGUGCUAAAUGAACACAUGAUCUCAACAAGGUGUUAUGAUUUCUAUCUUGAGGAAUGUACUUACAAUUUUAACUUUUAUAUAAAAACCUUAAGAAGUUGAGAGCUUGCUUAUUGUUUUUUAAAGUUUGCCUACUGAAGAAAACUAGCUUAAUUUUCAUAGCAGAAUUACUUUUUAAAAUGUAUAACACUGUGGCUACCGAAAUUGUUUUUAAUGUUGAUCUUCCCCACCUCCCACAGUCAUCGGACCUGAGAUUGUGUUUUCAAGGAAGUUUCUAUUUGGUAAGAUGAGAGACGCUUUCUCCAUCUGAUUCCAGAAUCGAGUCUCAGCUUAAGCUUCUCAAUAAAUGAGUUUGGAUACAGUGGUAGGAAGAGAAUUAAGGCAUUUAAUCAUUUUUUACCUGGAAUUCUAUCCAAAUGAUGGGCAAACAGGAUUCCCUGCUACAGACAACCGUUCCCCUACCCUUUGCUUCACCAAAGAUGAUUGCCCAUUACACAAAUAUUAAGUCCUGGCCAAGUUUGGUGCCAACCCUGUUAAGGUAACAGUGUUUCUGACAAACACGGUCCAAGACUGCCUGCAGCAUGGGGAGGCCAAAGCCAGCAGAAUCUUGGAGGCAACCAGGUAAAGGAGAUAUACUUGCUUGCUGUUCGGAAGUGAUGUAGAAUUUGCAAAAGCAGAGGCCAGAGGUUUCAUACCGUCUUCUUCCCCAGGCGGUCCGGCCUGUAUGGAGGGGGCAAGGGGAGGAGCCUGCACCUGGCUGCGGGAAGAAGGCAGGCAGUGAGCCUCCAAAUUCCCAGGGCCCAAGGAGAAAGCACAACCCCUAGUUUAGAAAAAAAGAACUGAACAAGUGGGUGGCCUAGGUCUGGAAAUACCACCCAGCUCUCCCAGCACAAAGUCAUUUCUGUGGUUUCAGGCAGCCUCAGCCCCUGCUGGAAACUCACGCCCCUCUUUGGCCAGCAGGAAGGCAGCCCUUCCACCUUGGGGGCUGGGGAGGGGGCAGCGAGUGACUGACUCCUUAGUAGCAGGCAAAGCUGCAACGCUGGCAACCUGCCGAGUUUCCUCCGCAGCAGCGAAGCGCCCUUUAGGGGCGGGGCGGGCAUUUUUGGUUUCUUUACCAGCUUCCAUGCCUGAGCCCACAACUGUUGGUUGAGCUCCCUGCUUUGUAAGUAGUCAGUCUUGCCCAGUUCUGAGGGCGAUCCAGGAGGAUGAGCCAGCCUGGCUUUGGAUCCAUUGAGCGCUAUGUCUUCAGCCCCUCUCCCUACCAUUCCCUCACACCUUUCCUGGUGAACCCAAGCCUCACUCUGAAAGCCAGUAUGUAGGGCUUUGAGUUUGGGAGCUAUUUGGAAGAGGAGAAAAUCGUUGAUUAUUAAAACCAAGAUUCAAGGAUAAACUCUCAAUUAUUAUUAUUUGCCCUUUUACAUUAUCUUUAAACUUUGAAGAUCCUCUAGUCCCAUUGAUCCAACCCUGAAACAGACAAGGCAUCAGGGAGAAAGCCUAGCCUAGCUUGAAGGAGCUGGGGUAUAGACAGAUACUCAUCUCUCCACCAUUCAGCAGGCAGAUAAGCACUUCUAGGCUGUGGGUCCUAAUCCAGGGCACAGCUGCUAUGUGGGUUGCUGAAGGGUGUUGAAACUACAAGUACAACUUGACACCAUUGAGCCCACAGUGCUUGUCAAUAAUCUGUGAAUUAGGUGCAGAGAUUGUCACUGUAGAUCAUAACAGUUUCUGGAGGACUCAUUACAGCCUAUCGUGUAAAUGAUCUUCAAAUUAAGGGGGGGAGGGGAAAGGAGUAGGGAGAGCCUACAAAAAGGGAAGAAGGGUGGGAGGGGAGAUAAAAGUCAGAGCCUCAGCUCCUUAGGAGCCUUUAAAGAUUAUCAGGCUAGCGAUCUGAGAAUUCCACUGGGAUGGGUUUGGAAGGCCAACUCUGUCUGAGCCGGGGCUGCAAAGGGGGCACUAGGGGUUGAGCAGAAGUGGGCCCCUGGGAAGGCAGACUUCUCAGACAUGUCUUUUGACAGCAGAAGAGCUUUGGGGAGAGGGCUCCAGAUGUCAAUGGGAGGCCUAGAGGAUGCCAGCCCGCCCAGGAUGGGUGUACACUUUCAUUUAGAGUGAAAGUCUUUCUUCCUUUUUCUUUAAUAGUAUUCCUGUCCCUCAGGCACAGGUUAAGCAGAUCUUUCUUUCCCCACCUUGCUUUUGGGGGUGCCAAACCUCUCUGCCUUCUGAGGUAGUUGAGUUGUCACUUUUUGUGAGUUUGUAUUAUGUCUGAUUGUAUUUCCAAAAGGGGAUUUUGCAAGUAACACAGGAGCAGUAUGCACCAUGAGAUCUCCAGAAGGAAGAAAACUAAAUCCCAUUGCUGUAGCUUGGAAGGGACCAGGCUAAGGGAAAGAUGCUCUCUCUGCUUGGUGUAUUGCCAAUGCAGUGUGUGUGGAGCCCAGCAUGCACUGAGGUGUCAUUCAUGUGUCAUUUAAAAUGGUCUAGAAAAAGCUUAAGGAAUGUUUGUUUUCCACUCAAAAGUUGUGGUCACAACUAAAUGAAAUAAUCAGAGAAUUUGAAACAAUGAUCUUUUUCCUGAAAUGAGGAUAACAAUCCUAGUCAGUGGAAAAUUAGGAUUCUGAAGAAACCUUUUUCUUUUGGUAUGAUUAAUUGCACAAGAUAGUGCGAUCAGUCAGGGAGGUAUGUAGUAAGACUCCCAAGCUGCAGCAAUGGUUUAGAGGUAUGAAAAGGCCCAAGAAUUUUUUGGGCCAUUUGCAGUUCCUGGGGAUCUGUUUGCUGGGUUUUUAUUUUUGUUUUUCAUUCCCUUCUCCUAAAUUUUAAUAUCAAAAUCAUAGGUUCAUUUUUUUCAAUACAAAUGAAAACCACUGGUGGCAGCUUUUUAAGUUUUCAGUUUGUCUCUUUAAAAGGGGAGUUUAUAUUUAAAUAGAUUAUUUAAUGGGCACACUGAAUUUUUUCCCCUGCACAACAGCUGCAGUGCAGAGAUGGAAUCUUAUGUUAAAACUGCUUGAUAAU
This 6186-nucleotide long non-coding RNA is filed under the name Sus scrofa (pig). RNAcentral's name for it is "lncRNA (ENSSSCG00035074222.1)". The record is from RNAcentral. Lineage: Eukaryota; Metazoa; Chordata; Mammalia; Artiodactyla; Suidae.